Molecule: ribosomal RNA, 411 nt
Filed under: uncultured bacterium
Lineage: Bacteria
Description: bacterial SSU rRNA
Rfam family: Bacterial small subunit ribosomal RNA
Source: RNAcentral
UAACGCGAAGAACCUUACCAAAUCUUGACAUCCUUUGAAAACUCUAGAGAUAGAGCCUUCCCCUUCGGGGGACAAAGUGACAGGUGGUGCAUGGUUGUCGUCAGCUCGUGUCGUGAGAUGUUGGGUUAAGUCCCGCAACGAGCGCAACCCUUAAGCUUAGUUGCCAUCAUUAAGUUGGGCACUCUAGGUUGACUGCCGGUGACAAACCGGAGGAAGGUGGGGAUGACGUCAAAUCAUCAUGCCCCUUAUGAUUUGGGCUACACACGUGCUACAAUGGACAAUACAAAGGGCAGCUAAACCGCGAGGUCAUGCAAAUCCCAUAAAGUUGUUCUCAGUUCGGAUUGUAGUCUGCAACUCGACUACAUGAAGCUGGAAUCGCUAGUAAUCGUAGAUCAGAAGGUUAAUCCGGCG